Scylla paramamosain (green mud crab) is the source of this 547-nucleotide long non-coding RNA. RefSeq lists it as uncharacterized. The record is from RefSeq and is a predicted model, not a curated record. The transcript has 2 exons. NCBI's taxonomy places the organism in Eukaryota, Metazoa, Arthropoda, Malacostraca, Decapoda, Portunidae.
GAACGGUGGCCGAUCACCUGAGGGAGAAGGAGGAGGAGGAGAGGAGAAAAAAGCCAGCAUGGUAUAAAUAAGGACUCCCCGCUCAAGCUCCUCACAGUUCAUAGCUGCACACCGAACCUGCUACAUCAAGCAAGAUGCUGCGUUCUCGCCUCCUGGUGCUCGGGGUGGUGGUGCUGGUGGUGCUGCAGGCCUUUGUGACCACCGCGGCCCCUCAGUAUGGUGGUGACGAUGAUGGGUAUGGUGGUGAUGAUGGAUAUGGUGGUGACGAUGGGCAUGGUGGUGACGAUGGGUAUGGUGGUGACGAUGGGUACGGUGGUGACGAUGGGUAUGGUGGUGACGAUGGAUAUGGUGGUGAUGACUCUUACCGUAAAUGGUAAGAGAAUGCCGGCACCAGCUCAGAUCACCCGACCUCCACGCCCUCUACCAAAACACCUGAACAAUGAUUUGAAGAGUCACCAGCCUGGAAGCACUUGGAAAGAAAAGCCUUGUCCUGCUUUAGUAACUUUAUGAUGACAUUGGUUCCUGGAGAUUAAAAACUAUAACCUUU